UACGGAGGGGACGAGCGUUGUCCGAAGUUACUGGGCGUAAAGCGCGCGUAGGCGGGUUGGCAAGUCUGCUGUGAAAGCCCGGGGCUCAACUCCGGAAUUGCCUUUAAAACUGCAUCGCUAGAAUUGUGGAGAGGUAAGUGGAAUUCCGAGUGUAGAGGUGAAAUUCGUAGAUAUUCGGAAGAACACCAGUGGCGAAGGCGACUUACUGGACACAUAUUGACGCUGAGGUGCGAAAGCGUGGGGAGCAAACAGG
Molecule: ribosomal RNA, 253 nt
Filed under: uncultured bacterium
Lineage: Bacteria
Description: partial 16S ribosomal RNA
Rfam family: Bacterial small subunit ribosomal RNA
Source: RNAcentral